AAUAUGAAGAUCACUAAAUAAAUUUAUGUAAAUCUCAAUCUCAUUUUUUAUAUCAGAAAUUAAUGGCAUCACUUAAAGUUGAAAAACCAGUAGGCACUCAGCUGUUUGGGCAAGCCAAAAAGGAGCCUGCACCAAAGGCUAGCGAUGGUCACUCUAAGGCUUCAGGUUCCAAGUCAUCAACUUCCAGGAAACCUGCAGCUCCAAAAGAACCCAAGAAGAAGGGGAAAGGAGGCAAAUCAGGGAAGAACUGAUUAUGGAAUAUUGCAGAGUAAUCCAUGUGAAGGAAACAUAUAAGACAUGGGUUAUUAAAAAUUAUGUUUAAUGUUUUAGUAUUUUCACUCGAAAAAUCAUGUUCUAUGGCAUUGAUCUUUAGAUCUACUAAAAUAAAACUUUGUAUUUGACAUUAUCUUUCAAUUAAUCUAUGUUUACUUCAA
This is a long non-coding RNA of Mercurialis annua (annual mercury), 434 nucleotides long. RefSeq lists it as uncharacterized. The transcript is spliced from 2 exons. NCBI's taxonomy places the organism in Eukaryota, Viridiplantae, Streptophyta, Magnoliopsida, Malpighiales, Euphorbiaceae. The record is from RefSeq and is a predicted model, not a curated record.